Molecule: unclassified non-coding RNA, 244 nt
Filed under: uncultured fungus
Lineage: Eukaryota; Fungi
Description: sequence contains ITS1
Source: RNAcentral
UUGUUCAAUUUGAUUGAUACUCCGACGCACAGAAGCAGCGUUGGGGGGGGCCAGCGGGGGCGCCGCCGCGCGAGACGGCAGGGUCGCCCCCGAGGCAACGGUUUUGGUUCACAUGGGGUUGGAGGUCGGGCGUGAGCCCUCACUCGGUAAUGAUCCCUCCGCAGGUUCACCUAGAAGAAGUUGGUUAGCAUGUUGAUUCGAGGGGAUGGCGGGGGUUGUCUGGUUCAUUACUCACCUACGGAGA